RNAcentral lists this long non-coding RNA (245 nucleotides) under Elaeis guineensis (African oil palm). RNAcentral's name for it is "long non-coding RNA (EGUI_LNC052665)". Lineage: Eukaryota; Viridiplantae; Streptophyta; Magnoliopsida; Arecales; Arecaceae. The record is from RNAcentral.
GCCAAGUUAAAAGCAAACUGUCAGAAAAAUGGGAGGAGAAGAGGGAAGAAAACAAUGAUUAACAACGAUCUUUGUGAGGAAAAACCCAAAAGAUAUGAGGUCUUUAAAUAGUCCUCUAAUAUGGAGAAAUUUGAGUUUAAUUUGAACUUUGAUUCCUAGUAAUUUUAGGCUUUAGGUCGAAGAAGAACUCCUUCAGGAGUUCAACCGUGCAUUUUCCUAUGUGUUGGAAAUUCAUCGUGGAAGGG